UACGGGGGGAGCAAGCGUUGUUCGGAUUUACUGGGCGUAAAGGGCGCGUAGGCGGCGCAACAAGUCACUUGUGAAAUCGUCCGGGCUUAACCCGGAGCGGCCAAGUGAUACUGUCGUGCUAGAGUGCGGAAGGGGCUACUGGAAUUCUCGGUGUAGCGGUGAAAUGCGCAGAUAUCAGGAGGAACACCAAUAGCGAAGGCAGCUCGCUGGGACGAUACUGACGCUAAGGCGCGAAAGCGUGGGGAGCAAACAGGG
RNAcentral lists this ribosomal RNA (255 nucleotides) under uncultured bacterium. Its description in RNAcentral is "partial 16S ribosomal RNA". It matches the Rfam family "Bacterial small subunit ribosomal RNA", at positions 524 to 777 of the family's 1533-position model. The record is from RNAcentral.